Molecule: ribosomal RNA, 181 nt
Filed under: uncultured Staphylococcus sp.
Lineage: Bacteria; Bacillati; Bacillota; Bacilli; Caryophanales; Staphylococcaceae
Description: partial 16S ribosomal RNA
Rfam family: Bacterial small subunit ribosomal RNA
Source: RNAcentral
GGAGCUAAUACCGGAUAAUAUUUUGAACCGCAUGGUUCAAAAGUGAAAGACGGUCUUGCUGUCACUUAUAGGUGGAUCCGCGCUGCAUUAGCUAGUUGGUAAGGUAACGGCUUACCAAGGCAACGAUGCAUAGCCGACCUGAGAGGGUGAUCGGCCACACUGGAACUGAGACACGGUCCAG